CAUCACUCCACACACUGAAGUCUCAGCCAACAUCAUGGCAGCAGUAGGACUCCUCUGGCUUGUGAUCGCCACAGCAUCCAUCCUUGUCAAAUGUGAUGAUGCAAAAUCUGAAGACAAAAAGAUCUACCCAGCAAAGAUCUUUGGACCAUCUAAUGUGACUGAAGGGGUAAAUGUCCAUUUUAAAUGUAGCAUUACUGGCAUCGGAGGACCUGAGGACAAGUUAAAUGUUUACCUUUGCAAGAAUGGAGUUGGGAUAAGAAUUGCGAAGCUGGAGAAAGGUGAAAAUGAUGCUAUUUUCACCAUGAAGGAUGUUACAAGAGAAGACUCAGGCAACUACAGCUGUGUGUACACCAGAGAUAAACCUGUACCCAGUCACUUGAAGUCAA
Molecule: long non-coding RNA, 386 nt
Organism: Oncorhynchus masou masou (cherry salmon)
Lineage: Eukaryota; Metazoa; Chordata; Actinopteri; Salmoniformes; Salmonidae
Exons: 3
Source: RefSeq, a predicted model, not a curated record